GACGAACGCUGGCGGCGUGCUUAACACAUGCAAGCGGAGCGACGAACCAGGGCUUGCCCUGGGGCAGAGCCGCGAACGGGUGAGUAACACGUCGGGUUACCUGCCCCGAUGACCGGGACAACCCGAGGAAACUCGGGCUAAUACCGGAUGUGUCCGAAAGGGGAAGAGCUUCGGCCUUCCGCAUCGGGAUGGGCCCGCGGCCCAUUAGCUUGUUGGUGAGGUAACGGCUCACCAAGGCUGCGANGGGUAGCUGGUCUGAGG
RNAcentral lists this ribosomal RNA (261 nucleotides) under uncultured bacterium. RNAcentral describes it as "partial 16S ribosomal RNA". It matches the Rfam family "Bacterial small subunit ribosomal RNA", at positions 28 to 297 of the family's 1533-position model. The record is from RNAcentral.